This 253-nucleotide ribosomal RNA is filed under the name uncultured bacterium. RNAcentral's name for it is "partial 16S ribosomal RNA". It matches the Rfam family "Archaeal small subunit ribosomal RNA", at positions 474 to 727 of the family's 1478-position model. The record is from RNAcentral.
UACCAGCACCCCGAGUGGUCGGGACGUUUAUUGGGCCUAAAGCAUCCGUAGCCGGUUCUACAAGUCUUCCGUUAAAUCCACCUGCUUAACAGAUGGGCUGCGGAAGAUACUAUGGAGCUAGGAGGCGGGAGAGGCAAGCGGUACUCGAUGGGUAGGGGUAAAAUCCGUUGAUCCAUUGAAGACCACCAGUGGCGAAGGCGGCUUGCCAGAACGCGCUCGACGGUGAGGGAUGAAAGUUGGGGGAGCAAACCGG